UACUAGAGUAGCACUCGCAUAUCAAUAAGCGGAGGAAAAGAAACUAACAAGGAUUCCCCUAGUAACGGCGAGUGAAGCGGGAAGAGCUCAAAUUUGAAAUCUUAAAGGGUUUCCCUUUACGAAUUGUAGUUUAAAGAAGUGUUUUCUGUUGAGGUUUUGGUAAGAGUUCUUUGGAAUAGGACAUCAUAGAGGGUGAGAAUCCCGUAUUUGACCUUUACUUUCAACUUUGUGAUACACUUUCAAAGAGUCGGAUUGUUUGAGAAUGCAGUCCAAAAUGGGUGGUAAAUUUCAUCUAAAGCUAAAUAUUGGCGAGAGACCGAUAGCGAACAAGUACCGUGAGGGAAAGAUGAAAAGAACUUUGAAAAGAGAGUUAAACAGUACGUGAAAUUGUCAGAAAGGGAAGCGUUUGACACCAGUGUUGUUUUUCUGAAAAUCAAUUAAAGAACUGUUUAUGCUAAGCUGUUUAGACUUUAUCAGCUAUCUGUUUAGUUUUGAGCUUUUCUUUAAUGCACUUUUCAGUUAACAAGUCAACAUCAAUUUCUUUUGCUGUAAAAAAGCUUGAGGAAGGUGGCUUGAGAUUCGUCUUAAGUGUUUAUAGCCUCUUGCCUAUGCAGUCGGAGAGAUUGAGGUCUGCAGCGUAGAUCCUUCGGGGCUAAAUGCAUUUGUGCUAAGUUAUAGCAUUUUAUAGACAACUUGUUGACUAUGAUUUGUCUUGUAGCUUACUCGCUUAUGUUAUUUUACCUACGCUUAGGAUGUUGAGCGCAUGUCUCUCUCU
This 775-nucleotide ribosomal RNA is filed under the name uncultured Neocallimastigales. RNAcentral describes it as "partial large subunit ribosomal RNA". It matches the Rfam family "Eukaryotic large subunit ribosomal RNA", at positions 20 to 616 of the family's 3401-position model. The record is from RNAcentral. Lineage: Eukaryota; Fungi; Neocallimastigomycota; Neocallimastigomycetes; Neocallimastigales.